RNAcentral lists this ribosomal RNA (401 nucleotides) under uncultured bacterium. Its description in RNAcentral is "partial 16S ribosomal RNA". It matches the Rfam family "Bacterial small subunit ribosomal RNA", at positions 360 to 776 of the family's 1533-position model. The record is from RNAcentral.
AAUAUUGCGCAAUGGGGGGAACCCUGACGCAGCAACGCCGCGUGAAGGAAGAAGGUUUUCGGAUUGUAAACUUCUUUGAUUGGGGACGAAGAAAUGACGGUACCCAAAAAACAAGCCACGGCUAACUACGUGCCAGCAGCCGCGGUAAUACGUAGGUGGCAAGCGUUGUCCGGAAUUACUGGGUGUAAAGGGCGUGUAGGCGGGAAUGUAAGUCAGAUGUGAAAUUCCAGGGCUCAACUCUGGGGGUGCAUCUGAAACUAUGUUUCUUGAGUGCUGGAGAGGGAAGCGGAAUUCCUAGUGUAGCGGUGAAAUGCGUAGAUAUUAGGAGGAACACCAGUGGCGAAGGCGGCUUUCUGGACAGUAACUGACGCUGAGGCGCGAAAGCGUGGGGAGCAAACAGG